AGUGAAAUUCUGUGUACAAGUGAGAGACCCAAGACUUGUUCUAAUACUCCAGCAAAGUCCUUAUCAAGGCACUGUUCCCUCAUGGCAGUAAAAGCCGCAGUGACGGAGGUCAGCUGUUCCUGUGUGAUCUGGGGCUUGUAUUUGAUGAGGUUGAUGAGCAUUCUGCAAGAAAAGCAAAGCAAGCACUGUGAACCUGGAAGGGCAGCAGUGAGCAAGCCACUGCCUUCACAUAUGUAAAGCUCCAGCCAAACCCCACAGAAGAACAUUCAUUCAUACAAGGGCAGCACGGAGCCUGGUGUUUAUAACUCCUGUAGGCAAAGAAGGCGAAACCCAAAGAAAGGAGGUGGCUGGCCAACGCUGUGCAACAGUCACCUAGCAGAACAAGGAAGACUGAAGUCCUCUUGCUCUAUUUGCUGAAGCUUCUUGCUUGCCAUUUGAUAGGUGCUAGGUAACUACCUAAACAGAGAAGUUAACUCUCUAGCUAGACGGCACAGACAAGUAGUGAGAUAAGCGGAUUUGGUUUGUUAGAAGAAAAGAAAGAACAGAGGACAGGCAGAUAUUAUGUUUUGCUGAAAGUUGCAUGGAAAAUAUAUGGCACUGAAGCAGUGUUAGGUCAUUUUAGUCACAAAGUGGUUCUUUCUGCCCUUUUGGAUGAUUUGAUGCUGAAAAAAGUCAAAUGGGAGAGUCAAGCAGAUUUUUAGACUGAAGAAACAAACUCCAGGUUUGUCAAGCAACCACAACCUCACAUGAGGAAAAAAAUGAAAACAAGAAAAAAGGCAUUUAAUUUUUCCAACCAUAUAAAAAUUAAAUGAAUUUUACCCUAUCGUGCAUACACUCCAGCAUAUCUCCACGACAGCAGUCCUUGUGCAUGUUAGCAAUAUCCAUCACAAGUUUGCUAACAGUAACAAAAUCAGCUUUAGGAAAUUUCUGGCUUAUCUGAGCAAGUUUCCUGGAAUGAAAAACAAUACAUACUGCUUAUAUUAACAAAGCGAG
This is a long non-coding RNA of Cygnus atratus (black swan), 993 nucleotides long. RefSeq lists it as uncharacterized. The transcript is spliced from 4 exons. The record is from RefSeq and is a predicted model, not a curated record. NCBI's taxonomy places the organism in Eukaryota, Metazoa, Chordata, Aves, Anseriformes, Anatidae.